Molecule: ribosomal RNA, 505 nt
Filed under: uncultured crenarchaeote
Lineage: Archaea; Thermoproteati; Thermoproteota
Description: bacterial SSU rRNA
Rfam family: Archaeal small subunit ribosomal RNA
Source: RNAcentral
CCCUAUGGGGCGCAGCAGGCGCGAAAACUCUGCAAUAUGCGAAAGCCUGACAGGGUUACUCUGAGUGAUUUCCGCUAAGGAGAUCUUUUGGCACCUCUAAAAAUGGUGCAGAAUAAGGGGUGGGCAAGUCUGGUGUCAGCCGCCGCAGUAAUACCAGCACCCRGAGUGGUCGGGACGAUUAUUGGGCCUAAARCAUCCGUAGCCGKUUYUGCAAGUCUUCCGUUAAAUCCARYAGCUCAACGGAUGGGCCGCGGAGGAUACUAUAUGACUAGGAGGCGGGAGAGGCAACCGGUACUCAGUGGGUAGGGGUAAAAUCCUUUGAUCCAUUGAAGACCACCUKUGGCGAARGCGGYUUGCCAGAACGCGCUCGACGGUGARGGAUGAAAGCUGGGGGAGCAAACCGGAUUAGAUACCCGGGUAGUCCCAGCUGUAAACGAUGCAGACUCGGUGAUGGGCUAGCCUUGUGCCAGCCCAGUGCCGCAGGGAAGCCGUUAAGUCUGCCGCC